GCAAGUUUCCAACUGGGCUAGCAGUUUUCCCACAGCCUUGCACAUUUUAACAACACCAUUUGCUCCACUCCAAUCCUGGGAUUAACGAAUCAAAAGAGAUGUCAAUAAAAGAGAUGCAGCCAAAGGGCUAAUUAUAUUAAUUAUGGAGACAUAGCUUUUGAAAAGGGGAUGAAGUAAUGGUGUUGCAUAAUUUUCAGUCACUGUGGAAACCAGCCACCUUAAUCAUAGGUUCAGGGUGCAAAUACCGCUUCUUUCAAUAGAGCUGAUUGUUGCGCAAGGGCUACAAGAAUCACACUGAAAGGCCUCAAAAGAAGUUUGAUUUCAGCAUGUUUUCGUGAACUGCGUUGGUACAUACUGUAUAUCAUAUUGGCAGACCAUAGAAACGGGUCAGUCUCUCACAGUAUUCAACCAGAAAGGAAAAUAACUGCAACUAAUUUAGCCCCAAGAGUCCAGGUGAAAUGGGGGUGUAAUUGCCCACUUUAAAUCAUCAUGUAGAUGGCAAAUAACAAAAGCACAAGAGCUGAGGAACUGAAGGAAGAUCGCCCCCUUCAGGCCUACCAGCGCCACGUCCAGUCACAACCUCUGGUCUCGUCGGUCCUAGUGCUGACCAAGCGCAAUGAUACAGACGUAUGCUGUCGCUGAUGUUGCUGGUUCUGAAAGCUGGUUAUAACAGCCCUGAGAGAACGCGCGACUUGGCAGGGAGUCUCCAUUCCUGUUUCUGGCCAGGGGUUCGAGGAGACUAGAAAAAUAUCAAGCUGUCGGCAUAUCUAAGGGGAACGGACGGACAUGGCCAAUAAAUAUAAGAGGAAGGAACAGCCCCUCCUGUGCAUAAUGAUUUAAAAAUAACCCUGCGGUGUUGCAGGCAGAGAGAAGAGCCUUGUGCUGCACUUGAUCCCGUGGAGUAGCCAUUCUGUAACUCACCGGGGGGAUUCCGUACUUCAUUUUAUAUUAAAUAUCAUCAAUGCUUCAACUCAACACGACCUCGCGUUUGUAAUCUG
Anguilla rostrata (American eel) is the source of this 998-nucleotide long non-coding RNA. RefSeq lists it as uncharacterized. The transcript has 3 exons. The record is from RefSeq and is a predicted model, not a curated record. Lineage: Eukaryota; Metazoa; Chordata; Actinopteri; Anguilliformes; Anguillidae.